GUUGGGGUGAGGACAUGUAUGUGAGUAUAUGGAUCUGUGUGUUGGUGUCAGGUCAGACCUGGGCAUCUCUCUGCACGGUGAAAGGGUCCAUUCCUUCCUGGUAGAACAGCUGGUGGAAAUGCUGCAGGAAAAACACACAAGAACCACAUUUUUGGGAUGAUGCCCUUCCAUUCGCAAGCCUUCAAAGAGAGUCUCAAAGUGUUUUAGUUUUAUGGUGUUAACAAACGGAAUCUCACCAGACAGGAGCCUCAAAGGGAGAGCGGGUUCAGCAGACCACCACACAACAAAGAACUUUGAAGAACAUUUUAAAACUCAAAAAAUGAUCACAUGAGGAGAAACUGGACAAUGAAGCUGACUCUACCUGGUUUCCAGACUGCUCACAGAAGCGUGUGAAGUAGAGGCCGGCGUGAAGCUCCACACAGAGAGCCUGCAGCAUCUCCGAGCGUCCUCUCCGGCGCUGCAGCUGAUUCCUGCUAGAUGACUGGCAAAGAUAUUGAAAUGAUGUGAGAUUCCAGUCAGGAAAACAUGAGGCAAACCCACAAAGAGAAGAAGAACAUAAGUCAGGGCUUAAUACAUGUAAUGAUCACGAAGGCCUGUUCUACAGAAGGAGCCAUGAUGGUAGAAUCCUAAGACGGAGAAGAGGAAACAUCCUCCUCAUGUGUACAGGUGCACACCUGUGGUGAUAUAGGAGAAAGGUACGAGCUGUUGACAGGGGGGAGGAGAGGCAGAGACGCUGAUCCACAGCCCCCCCACAGAGGGAGGGAACAGCAGUUUGCAGCCAAAACCCCCUGAGCAUGCUGGGACGUCCAGAACCGCAGAGCCCUGAUGGGAGGAAAUCAAAAGAAAGAAACAUUAAGGCUUGUUUCAGUACCAGUAGCAGAACAGGGACUCCGUCAGGCUGGACUGAGCCGCGUGCAGUUUCUCCUCUGUCCAGCAGGGGGAGGUCGCCAGCCCCAGU
This is a long non-coding RNA of Oryzias melastigma (Indian medaka), 958 nucleotides long. RefSeq lists it as uncharacterized. The transcript is spliced from 4 exons. The record is from RefSeq and is a predicted model, not a curated record. Lineage: Eukaryota; Metazoa; Chordata; Actinopteri; Beloniformes; Adrianichthyidae.